RNAcentral lists this long non-coding RNA (892 nucleotides) under Felis catus (domestic cat). Its description in RNAcentral is "lncRNA (ENSFCAG00000046853.1)". Lineage: Eukaryota; Metazoa; Chordata; Mammalia; Carnivora; Felidae. The record is from RNAcentral.
GCCGGCCCGCCUUGGGGUGACGAGGGAGCAGCUCUCUCCGCAGACCUCGCCAGAUGCGGCCAUUGUUAAGUCAGCCGGCUGUCAGCGCUCGAGGACCCCGGGGCACGAGCAACGCCCCCUCCCCUCCUGGCCUGUGCGCGGCCCCGACCGCAGGUGGAGGGGAGGCCGGGGCACGCGACCCCCGUGAAUCCUACAGCGGCAGGCCCGGCCCCGCAGCAGUGGUCCAUUCUCCCUGCCCUUCCCCCCUGGGCGCCGUCUUUUGACUUCUGGCGACCUACGACUCAUCUGACGUGGUCCAAGGUGCUGGAAACUUCCUAGCAAGACAUUCGCCAGCCUUGGGACCUCAAGGCUGAACAGACUUUGCAGAGCCACUCUAGGGAGGGAAGGAAGAUGUGCUUCCCACUCCCUGACCCCUCUCGACGCCUUGGGCAAAAUUUCCCAGAGCCACCACGGUGUUCUUGGUUCCUUGGAGCAGAAAGAUCUUGGGACCUUAUGGCGCUGAGGUUCCUCCAGGGCAGCCCCACCAGGGUGUGAAACCUCCAAGCUGUGGUGUCAAGCUGACCUUCGUUCCAGUCCCAGCCCUGGCCAGCUCUGUGACCUUGGCCCUUCACCCAACCAUUCCGAGCCUCAGUUUCCUCAUCUAUAAAAGGAAACCAGGAAUCCUACUCCCGGCAGCUAACAGAGAUGCUAACCGGCCCUGGACAGCUGGGGAAAUUGAACCACAAGUAACGAUCGAGGUCCCCCAGCUCCUGACCGCCUUCUUGUCCCUUUUUUGCUCUGCCGUUUGCUGUUUAACGUGUGUACUGGACAGCUUAUGGAUUAGGGUGUCCUUGUAAUAGAAAAGAACAAGCAGAGACUCCCGGUGGAGACGGCCAUGUGAAGACAGAAGCAG